RNAcentral lists this ribosomal RNA (497 nucleotides) under uncultured bacterium. Its description in RNAcentral is "partial 16S ribosomal RNA". It matches the Rfam family "Bacterial small subunit ribosomal RNA", at positions 28 to 507 of the family's 1533-position model. The record is from RNAcentral.
GAUGAACGCUGGCGGCGUGCCUAAUACAUGCAAGUCGAGCGAACAGAUGAGGAGCUUGCUCCUCUGCCGUUAGCGGCGGACGGGUGAGUAACACGUGGAUAACCUACCUAUAAUACCGCGACCACUUCCGGAAACCGGAGCUAAUACCGGAUAAUAUAUUGAACCGCAUGGUUCAAUAGUGCAAGAUGGUUUUGCUGUCACUUAUAGCUCGCUCCGCCCCGCAUUAGCUAGCUGGUAAUGUAACGGCUUACCAAGGCAACGAGGCGUAGCCGACCUGAGAGGGGGAUGGGCCACACUGGAACAGAGCGACGGUCCAGACUCCUACGGGAGGCAGCAGGAGGUAAUCUUCCGCAGUGGGCGAAAGCCUGACGGUCCAACGCCGCGUUAGUUAUGAAGCUCCUCGGAUCGUAAAACCCUGUUAAUAGGAGAGGACAUAUAUAUAGUUGACUGUACUCUUCGGGACGGUACCUAAGCAGAAAGGCACGGCUAACUACCUG